AUACGGAGGGUGCGAGCGUUAAUCGGAAUUACUGGGCGUAAAGCGUACGUAGGCGGUUGGUUAAGUUAGAUGUGAAAGCCCCGGGCUUAACCUGGGAGCUGCAUUUAAAACUGGCGAACUAGAGUUGAGUAGAGGGGAGUGGAAUUUCAGGUGUAGCGGUGAAAUGCGUAGAGAUCUGAAGGAACACCAGUGGCUAAGGCGACUCCCUGGACUCGAACUGACGCUGAGGUACGAAAGCGUGGGUAGCAAACGGGAUUAGAUACCCCAGUAGUCC
This 274-nucleotide ribosomal RNA is filed under the name uncultured bacterium. RNAcentral describes it as "partial 16S ribosomal RNA". It matches the Rfam family "Bacterial small subunit ribosomal RNA", at positions 523 to 796 of the family's 1533-position model. The record is from RNAcentral.